GGGCGCAUGGUGUAGUUGGUUAUCACGCCCGCUUAGCACGUUUAGUCGAUGCUGUUUGCGGGAGGGGUUGGGUUCAAUUCCCAAUGUGUCCA
This is a non-coding RNA of Pleurotus ostreatus (oyster mushroom), 92 nucleotides long. Lineage: Eukaryota; Fungi; Basidiomycota; Agaricomycetes; Agaricales; Pleurotaceae. The record is from the annotation of a RefSeq genome assembly.